This is a long non-coding RNA of Chenopodium quinoa (quinoa), 1466 nucleotides long. RefSeq lists it as uncharacterized. The record is from RefSeq and is a predicted model, not a curated record. The transcript has 2 exons. Lineage: Eukaryota; Viridiplantae; Streptophyta; Magnoliopsida; Caryophyllales; Amaranthaceae.
UAGAGCAUAUGCACUGUGAAGUGGAUUAUUGUUGUUAUAAUUUGAGCUGGUGGUGUUGUUUUUAUUCAAAUAGUUUCAUAUUGAAGGCUCUACGUACCAAUGUAAGCUAAGGGCUCUUAAAAAAAUAAACAAAUAAAAUAAAAAAAAGUGAAAAAAAGAGAAGAAAAAUUCAGUUGAGCCCAAUAUGUACGUGUGAUAUUUAUGUAUCUUGAUUGAGUAACUCGAGUUAGUAAAUCCGUAGGGGUAGCUUAAAACCUAGUACCUUGGGCCAAUUGGACCGGGAGCCACUGGUUGAAAGCUCGCUACAUGGGUUAUAUAUGACAUUAAGAGUCAUGAAACACUUUAAAAAAAAAAUUAAAUAAAUAAAUCAUGGAGAUUCAAUACUGAUGAGAUAAGAUAAGAUAUCAUAUUUUGUUUGUGGUGUUGAAUACUUUGCUCUACUAGUCUUAAAAUCUUUAUCACCACUCUUAAAUACUACCUGAACCUCACUCUACCGUAGGCCCAUCACAUCCUUAAUUUAAGUCCUAAUGAUCUUCUGAGUUAUUCUGCCACCUUGUUGAUUGAAACUAGGCUGUGAUUGUUUUAAGAGUUGGAAUUUGGCUUUACAAACUCAUAAAAAUGAUUUUCCUUCGAUCUGCAUAUGUACUUGACUUGAAGCUGUUAUUGAGCUAAGUGGAGUAAUUGUAACAUGUCAGGUUGCAUAUUGUUAUAUCAAGAGUCUAGCUCCUUUGUAACUUCAUGUCUUUGCUUGAAGACAAGCAAAAUUAUAAGCUUGGGGGAGUUUGAUAGGAUCGUUAAAGAAAGAAGAUUAUGGUAGCAAAAUGCAUUUGACCACUGCUCGGAUCAAAAGAAGCAUAGCUCACAAGACUGAAGUAAGUCACAUAUUUUAAGCCCAAUGAUGUUUGACUACAAAUAACCACGUGGGCCUUGAGGUACACCAAAGAGUUUCAGUCACUGUUCUUGCGAGUAAGGUACAAAUAAACCCUUGAGCGAUUUUUGUGGGAAAUCAAAUUGUCAAGCAAGAAAAGAUAGAGAUGGAAUCGGCUGAGGAUGGGAGCGAAAUACUCAGAGUAGCUGAGAUGAAUAAAAUGCUUCUUAUCUUUCUGUUAGGGGAUUAUCAUAGUUAUAUUUUGGGGAAUUUUCUGGGCGAGGUUCAGAGGGGUAAAAUUGAUGAACUUCAUCUGAAUUUGGCGAAGUAUCUAGCAGGGGAUAAGCAAGAUGGACUAGUCGAGGCAACUCGAUUCAGCUUAUGUUUACUCUGAUUCUUACUAGAAGAUUUGGUACUGUAUUUAUGUUUUCAUUUUCUUUUCAUUCGAUUUCAGCCUUAGUUUAUCUUAGAAUAGUAGUAGUAUAAGUUUUGCUUUGGAGAAUAAAAAUGAAAGUUAGUGCUUUCACUUUGUUAUUUUGCUCAUGAAUGCGUCAGUACUAGCUCUUAUGCAAUUUGCUAUAUUAAUUUAAUUCGGCUA